GUCCACGCCGUAAACGAUGGGCACUAGGUGUGGGAGGUGUCGACUCCUCCCGUGCCGGAGCUAACGCAUUAAGUGCCCCGCCUGGGGAGUACGGCCGCAAGGCUAAAACUCAAAGGAAUUGACGGGGACCCGCACAAGCAGCGGAGCAUGUGGUUUAAUUCGACGAAACGCGAAGAACCUUACCUGGGUUUGACAUGUGCCUGACCGCCGUGGAAACACGGCUUCCUCUUUGAGGCAGGUUCACAGGUGGUGCAUGGCUGUCGU
RNAcentral lists this ribosomal RNA (264 nucleotides) under uncultured bacterium. RNAcentral's name for it is "partial 16S ribosomal RNA". It matches the Rfam family "Bacterial small subunit ribosomal RNA", at positions 793 to 1055 of the family's 1533-position model. The record is from RNAcentral.